This 225-nucleotide ribosomal RNA is filed under the name uncultured bacterium. RNAcentral's name for it is "partial 16S ribosomal RNA". It matches the Rfam family "Bacterial small subunit ribosomal RNA", at positions 109 to 334 of the family's 1533-position model. The record is from RNAcentral.
AGUAACGCGUGGGUAACCUGCCUUAUACAGGGGGAUAACAGUCAGAAAUGGCUGCUAAUACCGCAUAAGCGCACAGAGCUGCGUGGCUCAGUGUGAAAAACUCCGGUGGUAUAAGAUGGACCCGCGUCUGAUUAGCCAGUUGGCGGGGUAACGGCCCACCAAAGCGACGAUCAGUAGCCGACCUGAGAGGGUGACCGGCCACAUUGGGACUGAGACACGGCCCAG